RNAcentral lists this ribosomal RNA (250 nucleotides) under uncultured prokaryote. RNAcentral's name for it is "partial 16S ribosomal RNA". It matches the Rfam family "Bacterial small subunit ribosomal RNA", at positions 524 to 773 of the family's 1533-position model. The record is from RNAcentral.
UACGUAGGGGGCGAGCGUUGUCCGGAAUUACUGGGCGUAAAGGGCGCGUAGGCGGCACAUUAAGUUAGAUGUGAAAUUCCCGGGCUUAACCUGGGCGUUGCAUUUAAAACUGAUGAGCUUGAGUGCAGGAGAGGAAAGCGGAAUUCCUAGUGUAGCGGUGAAAUGCGUAGAUAUUAGGAGGAACACCAGUGGCGAAGGCGGCUUUCUGGACUGUAACUGACGCUGAGGCGCGUAAGUCGGGGGAGCAAAC